Carya illinoinensis is the source of this 927-nucleotide long non-coding RNA. RefSeq lists it as uncharacterized. The transcript has 3 exons. Lineage: Eukaryota; Viridiplantae; Streptophyta; Magnoliopsida; Fagales; Juglandaceae. The record is from RefSeq and is a predicted model, not a curated record.
UUUCCAUGACGUACCAGAUUCUUCUUCUUCUUCUUCUUUUUAUUUUUUCUUUCCAUUCUUUCAAUCCCAUCCCAAGCGAAGGAGUGAUGAAUGAUUUCGCACUGGUAAAACUCUCUCUCACAAGUUAGAAAUAGAAUAAGAAGAUGAUCCGGAUGCGCACAAAAAAUCAACUACGUAACUUCACGCUUUUGCCCAAUAAUUCUUCGACACAUUCAAAGCUCACAUGUCCGAGCACGUACCGUAAUACUUCCAAGUCAAAAUACCUCCGUGACCAACUUUGCUUAAGCUAAUACAGGCGGUUCCGCAGCAGUCUCAGCCAUGGGGGUUUAAAGGAAAAAUCUAUUCAUAAUUUCCUAAUUUCCGUCUAGAGUAAUUUGGGAUAACUUCUGUAUCAGGUAAUUGAGAAAAGUCAACCUGUUAUACAAUCUCCACCUGCCGCUACAACCCCACCCAUCACUCCAUGUCGAAAGAAGAAGAAUGAAGAAGCUACGUACUUUCUUGGAGGAUUUUAAGGACAUAUUGAUGAGUUCAUCCAUGCAUCUAUGGAUGAACACAAUAGUUGCUGCCAGAAAGCCAUACAGAAGAUGUUUGGAAUGCCAAAGAUUGUUGCGGAAAGGAAUACUCACACUAAUGGAAUUGAAGUCUCUCUGCCAUUCCAACAGCGGUAUCAGACUAGAAUGUGUCCCCUCCUUUUCGAGGCAGCUUGCUAUCUAGAUUUGGAACAAUGAUUGUUUCAAUAAUAUAAAAUAGACUGUUUGGUAGAAUUUUAACUCUAGUAGUACUGCUUGGAAGGUUUGAGUAUGUUCGUAGAACUCUUAAAAUUGGUUUUCAGAAUAAGGAAUUUAUCUGUUGAUAUGGCUAUGUUUUCCAGUUUUGCUAGUAUGGUCCUGCUCGGAAAAGCACAUAAUAACUUUUGUUCUGAGUAAG